GUUUCCCUACGGGGCGCAGCAGUGGGGAAUAUUGCACAAUGGGGGAAACCCUGAUGCAGCGACGCCGCGUGAAGGAAGAAGUAUUUCGGUAUGUAAACUUCUAUCAGCAGGGAAGAAAAUGACGGUACCUGACUAAGAAGCCCCGGCUAACUACGUGCCAGCAGCCGCGGUAAUACGUAGGGGGCAAGCGUUAUCCGGAUUUACUGGGUGUAAAGGGAGCGUAGACGGCAGCGCAAGUCUGGAGUGAAAUGCCGGGGCCCAACCCCGGAACUGCUCUGGAAACUGUGAAGCUGGAGUGCAGGAGG
RNAcentral lists this ribosomal RNA (305 nucleotides) under uncultured bacterium. RNAcentral describes it as "bacterial SSU rRNA". It matches the Rfam family "Bacterial small subunit ribosomal RNA", at positions 333 to 655 of the family's 1533-position model. The record is from RNAcentral.